UGGGGAAUAUUGGACAAUGGGCGAAAGCCUGAUCCAGCCAUGCCGCGUGAGUGACGAAGGCCUUAGGGUUGUAAAACUCUUUCGUCGGGGACGAUAAUGACGGUACCCGAAGAAGAAGCUCCGGCUAACUUCGUGCCAGCAGCCGCGGUAAUACGUAGGGACCAAGCGUUGUUCGGAUUUACUGGGCGUAAAGGGCGCGUAGGCGGUGUGUCAAGUCAGUUGUGAAAUCUCCGAGCUUAACUCGGAACGGUCAACUGAUACUGUCACACUAGAGUACAGAAGGGGCAAUCGGAAUUCUUGGUGUAGCGGUGAAAUGCGUAGAUAUCAAGAGGAACACCUGAGGCGAAGGCGGGUUGCUGGGCUGAUACUGACGCUGAGGUGCGAAAGCGUGGGGAGCAAACAGGAUUAGAUACCCGGGUAGUCCCUGAGCGGGCUGGCAAGGCGCAU
Molecule: ribosomal RNA, 447 nt
Filed under: uncultured bacterium
Lineage: Bacteria
Description: bacterial SSU rRNA
Rfam family: Bacterial small subunit ribosomal RNA
Source: RNAcentral